This 457-nucleotide ribosomal RNA is filed under the name uncultured fungus. RNAcentral's name for it is "eukaryotic LSU rRNA". The stretch from base 129 to 274 matches the Rfam family "5.8S ribosomal RNA". Lineage: Eukaryota; Fungi. The record is from RNAcentral.
UUACAAAUCAUUAUGCUGGCCUUCGGGUCUAGCACAUGUGCCCGGACUAGACAUCUCGUCUAGUCUGUGACAUAUAUACGCUUGUUGUGUUUGACAGAGUUUUAAUAUUACCAUAUUAUAAAAUAGACAACUUUUAACAAUGGAUCUCUUGGCUCUUGCAACGAUGAAGAACGCAGUAAAGUGCGAUAUGUAAUGCGAUUUGCAUGAAUCUGUGAGUCAUCUAAUCUUUGAACGCAACUUGCACCCAUUCGUGGGUAUGUCUGUUUGAGUACCGCAAAUCAUUAUAUUCAGCAAUGAAUGAACUGAGACCUAUCCCAUGGGAUUGUCUUUAAAAGAAGCAAGCGGGCAAUCAUUGCUAGCUGUCAUGUGCUAGAGACUUUUAGUCUUGUCAUGGCAACACUGGUGGUGAACCCAGUUGUCUUUUGACAACAAUUUUGUAAAUUGGUCUCAAAUCAGU